UGGGGAAUAUUGGACAAUGGGCGAAGCCUGAUCCAGCCAUGCCGCGUGUGUGAAGAAGGUCUUCGGAUUGUAAAGCACUUUAAGUUGGGAGGAAGGGCAUUAACCUAAUACGUUAGUGUUUUGACGUUACCGACAGAAUAAGCACCGGCUAACUCUGUGCCAGCAGCCGCGGUAAUACAGAGGGUGCAAGCGUUAAUCGGAAUUACUGGGCGUAAAGCGCGCGUAGGUGGUUUGUUAAGUUGGAUGUGAAAGCCCCGGGCUCAACCUGGGAACUGCAUCCAAAACUGGCAAGCUAGAGUACGGUAGAGGGUGGUGGAAUUUCCUGUGUAGCGGUGAAAUGCGUAGAUAUAGGAAGGAACACCAGUGGCGAAGGCGACCACCUGGACUGAUACUGACACUGAGGUGCGAAAGCGUGGGGAGCAAACA
RNAcentral lists this ribosomal RNA (426 nucleotides) under uncultured bacterium. RNAcentral describes it as "partial 16S ribosomal RNA". It matches the Rfam family "Bacterial small subunit ribosomal RNA", at positions 355 to 774 of the family's 1533-position model. The record is from RNAcentral.